Molecule: ribosomal RNA, 111 nt
Filed under: Candidatus Nealsoniibacteriota bacterium
Lineage: Bacteria; Candidatus Nealsoniibacteriota
Source: RNAcentral
CCCGGUGAUUAUAGCGAUCGGGUACCACCUCUUUCCAUUCCGAACAGAGAAGUUAAACCGAUCUGCGCCGAUGAUAUUGCCUUUUGGUGAGAAAGUAGGACAUCGCCGGGU